UCAUCUUCACUUUGGGUCUAACAGCACUUUUCAUGUGGCUAAGUCUACGUACUUCCAACCCCAAAUGUUCUAUUGAAAAUUUUUACUUACCUUCUCUAGAUACGACCUUAAAGAACCCAAACGAUACUGCCUUAAACCUGACCUUAAAGCUAGAAAACACCAACAAAGACAAAGGGAUUAAGUAUGAUGCUGUGAAAGUCGCAGUUUCUGAUUCUCAAAACAGAAAUCAUGUUGUAGCUAAUGUUUCGGUGCCGGGGUUUUACCAGGGUCACAAAAAGAAGGCUGAAAAGAAUGGUACAGGGACAGCUAACUUGACGGUGGCUUCGCAGGUGACUUCCAACAACGGGACGAGGGUUUUCUGGGUGGAUUUGUCGACUUCAGUGAAAUUUAAGAUCAUGU
RNAcentral lists this long non-coding RNA (399 nucleotides) under Gossypium raimondii (Peruvian cotton). RNAcentral describes it as "long non-coding RNA (GRAI_LNC001007)". The record is from RNAcentral. Lineage: Eukaryota; Viridiplantae; Streptophyta; Magnoliopsida; Malvales; Malvaceae.